RNAcentral lists this long non-coding RNA (501 nucleotides) under Equus asinus (donkey). Its description in RNAcentral is "lncRNA (ENSEASG00005028251.1)". Lineage: Eukaryota; Metazoa; Chordata; Mammalia; Perissodactyla; Equidae. The record is from RNAcentral.
GAAAAUUUUGACCUGCCAAUCAAACUCAUCCUGCCCCUCCUUGCAUACCAGCAGGCCCUCCCUAAUCCCUUAAACUCUACCCCAGCCUGGGAGAGAGAGAGACAUUUGAGAGCUUGGCCUCCUGUCUCCUUGCUGGUCCACCAUGUUUAAAGCCUUUUGUUUCUCAAAAGCAGGUGUGCCACUGUGUCAGCUUCUGUGCCCAUCAGGUGGCGAAGCCUUGCUUAGUAACAGUUUUAAGGGUUGGAACUUCAACCUGGGGAUCAUUGGGAACAUUUGAAGAUUUUGUUUUUAAAGGAGGUUCUAGUAGCAGUGUAAAAAUUGACCUGGAGAGGCAAGACUGGUGGCCAGGAGGCCCAUUAGGAGGCUGCUAUAAUCUAGGUUUCUGGCCUGAGUAGCUGAGUAGAAUGUGGUCCCAAGCACUGAGAUAAUGAACACAGGAGGAGUGAUGGACAUUGGAGCUGUUUCUGCCUUUUGGCUGUUAUAAAUAAUGGUGCUGUGAAC